RNAcentral lists this ribosomal RNA (465 nucleotides) under uncultured Klebsiella sp. RNAcentral describes it as "bacterial SSU rRNA". It matches the Rfam family "Bacterial small subunit ribosomal RNA", at positions 338 to 795 of the family's 1533-position model. Lineage: Bacteria; Pseudomonadati; Pseudomonadota; Gammaproteobacteria; Enterobacterales; Enterobacteriaceae. The record is from RNAcentral.
CCUACGGGUGGCAGCAGUGGGGAAUAUUGCACAAUGGGCGCAAGCCUGAUGCAGCCAUGCCGCGUGUGUGAAGAAGGCCUUCGGGUUGUAAAGCACUUUCAGCGGGGAGGAAGGCGGUGAGGUUAAUAACCUCAUCGAUUGACGUUACCCGCAGAAGAAGCACCGGCUCACUCCGUGCCAGCAGCCGCGGUAAUACGGAGGGUGCAAGCGUUAAUCGGAAUUACUGGGCGUAAAGCGCACGCAGGCGGUCUGUCAAGUCGGAUGUGAAAUCCCCGGGCUCAACCGGGGAACUGCAUUCGAAACUGGCAGGCUAGAGUCUUGUAGAGGGGGGUAGAAUUCCAGGUGUAGCGGUGAAAUUCGUAGAGAUCUGGAGGAAUACCGGUGGCGAAGGCGGCCCCCUGGACAAAUACUGACGCUCAGGUGCGAAAGCGUGGGGAGCAAACAGGAUUAGAUACCCGAGUAGUC